This 29-nucleotide transfer RNA is filed under the name Ventilago viminalis. RNAcentral describes it as "partial transfer RNA-Phe". The record is from RNAcentral. Lineage: Eukaryota; Viridiplantae; Streptophyta; Magnoliopsida; Rosales; Rhamnaceae.
CGGGAUAGCUCAGUGUAGAGCAGACUGAA